AUCAACUUUCAAACUUUUGUCAAAUUACUAGAUGAAAUUCCACCGCAAAACAUAGCUCCCAUUAUGAUAUGCAGUUAACCACAGCAGAAUGGAAAUAAUGUAGACUCACUAGUGUUUACAGAAGUAGCCUAGAAGUUGUCACAGUCACAGUAACUAAGAUCGGUGACUAUUCAAUAAAGAGUAUCAGAUAUAAUUUAACUCAUAUAAUUUCAACUGUUUCUUUGAUAACUAAAGAAAAAUAUUAGAAGAGCCAAGAUGUGCUAAGCUGAACUAUACAACAAAGUCUGAAUCAAAUUGUAUGGAUUCCAAGUACAAAGGAAAAUAAUAACACUCAACCAUGCACCAAGCUUGGAUGGAGAGCUUGGUUAAGGGCAUGUGCAUUUUCGGGUGGUGUAUGAGUUCUGAUUGAUGGUUGUCCCACUGAAUAAAUAGACAUCUGUAGGGGUCUAAAGUAGUGAUAUUGUUGGCCCUGUUCCUUUUUCUUCUAGUGAUCAAGGGACUGGGCCUAUAUUUCCUAAUGAACCGAUCAGUAUCUCUGGGCCUUUUCAGGGUUUUAAGGUGGAUCCAUCCAUUAGAUGUAGUAGCAUCUCACCUAUUGUCUGCAGAUGAUAUUUUUCUAAUUUGGGAGGCUAGUGCUGGUAAUCUGCGGGUAACCAGUCAUUUCUAAUAUAGUUAGAGGUAGCUUCUAGUUUGAAGAUGAGCUUCUCUUAGAGUAUACUUUUGAGUGUAAACCUCGAUUCUUUCUUCCUUUCAAUGGUUGCAUGGUUUCUCAAUUGUAUGUUGUGGUUGAUGUCAUUCAUAUUCUUUAGACUUUUGGUUGGUGCUAGCCCAGGAAGGUGCAUGCCCGCAUGGAAACCAUAUUGCUGGAAGUUCUUCAAAAAUAACUUGGGAUUCUGACAAAACAUGUUUGUUUGAUAGAUUCGGUUAAUUCUCUGAAGUCUUUAUUGAAAGCAAAAGUUACUGACUUCAAUUUAUAAGAGUAUAUAUAUGGUAUCUUAUUUUGCAAGUUUUUUUCCU
Molecule: long non-coding RNA, 1017 nt
Organism: Lathyrus oleraceus (garden pea)
Lineage: Eukaryota; Viridiplantae; Streptophyta; Magnoliopsida; Fabales; Fabaceae
Exons: 3
Source: RefSeq, a predicted model, not a curated record